UACGGAGGGUGCAAGCGUUAAUCGGAAUUACUGGGCGUAAAGCGUGCGCAGGCGGUUAUGUAAGACAGAUGUGAAAUGCCCGGGCUUAACCUGGGAACUGCAUUUGUGACUGCAUGGCUAGAAUCUGGCAGAGGGGGGUAGAAUUCCACGUGUAGCAGUGAAAUGCGUAGAUAUGUGGAGGAACACCGAUGGCGAAGGCAGCCCCCUGGGUCAAGAUUGACGCUCGAUGCACGAAAGCGUGGGGAGCAAACAGG
This 254-nucleotide ribosomal RNA is filed under the name uncultured bacterium. Its description in RNAcentral is "partial 16S ribosomal RNA". It matches the Rfam family "Bacterial small subunit ribosomal RNA", at positions 524 to 776 of the family's 1533-position model. The record is from RNAcentral.